CCGCCGCAGUAACACAUGCAAGUCGAACGGAAGAAUAGCAAUAUUCUUUAGUGGCAAACGGGUGAGUAACGCGUGAGAAUCUGUCUUUUGGUGGGGGAUAGCCAGUAGAAAUGCUGGGUAAUACCGCAUAUCCUUGCAAAACAAGGAAAGAUUUAUCGCCAAAAGGUGAGCUCGCGUCAGAUUAGGUAGUUGGUAGGGUAAAGGCCUACCAAGCCUUUGAUCUGUAGCUGGUCUGAGAGGACGAUCAGCCACACUGGGACUGAGAUACGGCCCAGACUUCUACGGAAGGCAGCAGUGGGGAAUUUUGGACAAUGGGGGAAACCCUGAUCCAGCUAUGCCACGUGAGGGAAGACGGCCUUUGGGUUGUAAACCUCUUUUACCUGUGACGAUGAUGACGGUAGCAGGAGAAAAAGUCCCGGCUAACUCUGUGCCAGCAGC
RNAcentral lists this ribosomal RNA (438 nucleotides) under uncultured bacterium. Its description in RNAcentral is "bacterial SSU rRNA". It matches the Rfam family "Bacterial small subunit ribosomal RNA", at positions 39 to 515 of the family's 1533-position model. The record is from RNAcentral.